Molecule: ribosomal RNA, 253 nt
Filed under: uncultured bacterium
Lineage: Bacteria
Description: partial 16S ribosomal RNA
Rfam family: Bacterial small subunit ribosomal RNA
Source: RNAcentral
UACAGAGGGUGCGAGCGUUAAUCGGAAUUACUGGGCGUAAAGCGCGCGUAGGCGGCUUUGUAAGUUAGAGGUGAAAGCCCGGGGCUCAACUCCGGAAUUGCCUUUAAGACUGCAUCGCUAGAAUCGUGGAGAGGUAAGUGGAAUUCCGAGUGUAGAGGUGAAAUUCGUAGAUAUUCGGAAGAACACCAGUGGCGAAGGCGACUUACUGGACACGUAUUGACGCUGAGGUGCGAAAGCGUGGGGAGCAAACAGG